Molecule: long non-coding RNA, 509 nt
Organism: Camelus dromedarius (Arabian camel)
Lineage: Eukaryota; Metazoa; Chordata; Mammalia; Artiodactyla; Camelidae
Exons: 3
Source: RefSeq, a predicted model, not a curated record
CAGCAGGUCCAUCCUCUCCAGGAGAUCCAGGGGGUCCAAUGAAAACAUCGGUUCCUGGUUUUCCUGGAAGCCCAGUCUCUUUUGCCUCUGGCUGGGCUGGCGGAUCCCACCAGCUUGGAAGUCCCAACGGGGUCCCGCUCCACUCAUCCGAUGGCAACAUGGAGACUCACCAUGAGUCAGAACCUCAGCCUCCUGGCUCCCAGCCUGGGGCCGCCCCAGGACAUGAGCUCGCUGCAGGCCAGCUUACCCGGGUUCAAAUCCCGGCCCUGCUCUUAGAGGCCUGCCACAGCAGCAUGUUUCUUUCCCUGAGUCUCACUCCUCUCACCUGGAAAAUGGAGAUGGCACACCUUGUACGAGGGUGGUGAGGUGCACAGAAUCAGAUCAACUUGGAACCCAGAGUGCUUAAUAAAUGUCAGUGCAAAUGGCUUAUUUCCUGCCCCUUGACUGUGAAUUCCUUGGGGAUAGGAACGAGGUCAAAUUCACCCCAAUGCUGAGUGUCUGGACCGAGG